Molecule: ribosomal RNA, 497 nt
Filed under: uncultured bacterium
Lineage: Bacteria
Description: partial 16S ribosomal RNA
Rfam family: Bacterial small subunit ribosomal RNA
Source: RNAcentral
GACGAACGCUGGCGGCGUGCCUAAUACAUGCAAGUUGAGCGCUGAAGGUUGGUACUUGUACCGACUGGAUGAGCAGCGAACGGGUGAGUAACGCGUGGGGAAUCUGCCUUUGAGCGGGGGACAACAUUUGGAAACGAAUGCUAAUACCGCAUAAAAACUUUAAACACAAGUUUUAAGUUUGAAAGAUGCAAUUGCAUCACUCAAAGAUGAUCCCGCGUUGUAUUAGCUAGUUGGUGAGGUAAAGGCUCACCAAGGCGAUGAUACAUAGCCGACCUGAGAGGGUGAUCGGCCACAGUGGGACUGAGACACGGCCCAAACUCCUACGGGAGGCAGCAGUAGGGAAUCUUCGGCAAUGGACGAAAGUCUGACCGAGCAACGCCGCGUGAGUGAAGAAGGUUUUCGGAUCGUAAAACUCUGUUGGUAGAGAAGAACGUUGGUGAGAGUGGAAAGCUCAUCAAGUGACGGUAACUACCCAGAAAGGGACGGCUAACUACGUG